Molecule: ribosomal RNA, 465 nt
Filed under: uncultured bacterium
Lineage: Bacteria
Description: bacterial SSU rRNA
Rfam family: Bacterial small subunit ribosomal RNA
Source: RNAcentral
CUACGGGAGGCAGCAGUGGGGAAUUUUGGACAAUGGGGGCAACCCUGAUCCAGCCAUGCCGCGUGAGUGAAGAAGGCCUUCGGGUUGUAAAGCUCUUUCGGCCGGAACGAAAUCGCGCGGGCGAACAAUCCGCGUGGAUGACGGUACCGGAAUAAGAAGCACCGGCUAACUACGUGCCAGCAGCCGCGGUAAUACGUAGGGUGCAAGCGUUAAUCGGAAUUACUGGGCGUAAAGCGUGCGCAGGCGGUCGCGUAAGCCAGAUGUGAAAGCCCCGGGCUUAACCUGGGAAUUGCAUUUGGUACUGCGUGGCUAGAGUGCGGCAGAGGGAGGUGGAAUUCCUGGUGUAGCAGUGAAAUGCGUAGAUAUCAGGAGGAACACCGAUGGCGAAGGCAGCCUCCUGGGCCAGCACUGACGCUCAUGCACGAAAGCGUGGGGAGCAAACAGGAUUAGAUACCCUAGUAGUCC